RNAcentral lists this ribosomal RNA (493 nucleotides) under uncultured bacterium. RNAcentral's name for it is "bacterial SSU rRNA". It matches the Rfam family "Bacterial small subunit ribosomal RNA", at positions 28 to 511 of the family's 1533-position model. The record is from RNAcentral.
GAUGAACGCUAGCUACAGGCUUAACACAUGCAAGUCGAGGGGCAGCAUGGUCUUAGCUUGCUAAGACUGAUGGCGACCGGCGCACGGGUGAGUAACACGUAUCCAACCUGCCGUCUACUCUUGGACAGCCUUCUGAAAGGAAGAUUAAUACAAGAUGGCAUCAUGAGUCCGCAUGUUCACAUGAUUAAAGGUAUUCCGGUAGACGAUGGGGAUGCGUUCCAUUAGAUAGUAGGCGGGGUAACGGCCCACCUAGUCUUCGAUGGAUAGGGGUUCUGAGAGGAAGGUCCCCCACAUUGGAACUGAGACACGGUCCAAACUCCUACGGGAGGCAGCAGUGAGGAAUAUUGGUCAAUGGGCGAGAGCCUGAACCAGCCAAGUAGCGUGAAGGAUGACUGCCCUAUGGGUUGUAAACUUCUUUUAUAAAGGAAUAAAGUCGGGUAUGGAUACCGUUUGCAUGUACUUUAUGAAUAAGGAUCGGCUAACUCCGUGCCAG